RNAcentral lists this ribosomal RNA (948 nucleotides) under Lactobacillus apis. Its description in RNAcentral is "bacterial SSU rRNA". It matches the Rfam family "Bacterial small subunit ribosomal RNA", at positions 48 to 963 of the family's 1533-position model. The record is from RNAcentral. Lineage: Bacteria; Bacillati; Bacillota; Bacilli; Lactobacillales; Lactobacillaceae.
CUAAUACAUGCAAGUCGAGCGAGCAAAGUUAAAGGAAUACUUCGGUAGGAAUUUAAUAGCGCGAGCGGCGGAUGGGUGAGUAACACGUGGGCAAUCUACCCUUUAGCUUGGGAUACCACUUGGAAACAGGUGCUAAUACCAAAUAAGAAGUAAGAGCGCAUGCUCAAGCUAUGAAAGGCGGCUUUCGAGCUGUCACUAAAGGAUGAGCCCGCGGUGCAUUAGCUAGUUGGUAAGGUAACGGCUUACCAAGGCAAUGAUGCAUAGCCGAGUUGAGAGACUGAUCGGCCACAUUGGGACUGAGACACGGCCCAAACUCCUACGGGAGGCAGCAGUAGGGAAUCUUCCACAAUGGACGCAAGUCUGAUGGAGCAACGCCGCGUGAGUGAAGAAGGUUUUCGGAUCGUAAAGCUCUGUUGUUGGUGAAGAAGGACAUGGGUAGUAACUGAUCUAUGUUUGACGGUAAUCAACCAGAAAGUCACGGCUAACUACGUGCCAGCAGCCGCGGUAAUACGUAGGUGGCAAGCGUUGUCCGGAUUUAUUGGGCGUAAAGCGAACGCAGGCGGGAGAACAAGUCAGCUGUGAAAGCCCUCGGCUUAACCGAGGAACGGCAACUGAAACUGUUUUUCUUGAGUGCAGAAGAGGAGAGUGGAACUCCAUGUGUAGCGGUGAAAUGCGUAGAUAUAUGGAAGAACACCAGUGGCGAAGGCGGCUCUCUGGUCUGUAACUGACGCUGAGGUUCGAAAGCAUGGGUAGCGAACAGGAUUAGAUACCCUGGUAGUCCAUGCCGUAAACGAUGAGUGCUAAGUGUUGGGAGGUUUCCGCCUCUCAGUGCUGCAGCUAACGCAUUAAGCACUCCGCCUGGGGAGUACGACCGCAAGGUUAAAACUCAAAGGAAUUGACGGGGGCCCGCACAAGCGGUGGAGCAUGUGGUUUAAUUCGAACAACGCG